RNAcentral lists this unclassified non-coding RNA (331 nucleotides) under soil metagenome. Its description in RNAcentral is "partial contains 5.8S ribosomal RNA, internal transcribed spacer 2, and large subunit ribosomal RNA". The stretch from base 1 to 120 matches the Rfam family "5.8S ribosomal RNA", at positions 35 to 154 of the family's 154-position model. The record is from RNAcentral.
GAUGAAGAACGUAGCGAAAUGCGAUAAGUAAUGUGAAUUGCAGAAUUCAGUGAAUCAUCGAAUCUUUGAACGCACAUUGCGCCCCCUGGUAUUCCGGGGGGCAUGCCUGUUCGAGCGUCAUUUCACCACUCAAGCCUCGCUUGGUAUUGGGCAACGCGGUCCGCCGCGUGCCUAAAAUCGACCGGCUGGGUCUUCUGUCCCCUAAGCGUUGUGGAAACUAUUCGCUAAAGGGUGUUCGGGAGGCUACGCCGUAAAACAACCCCAUUUCUAAGGUUGACCUCGGAUCAGGUAGGGAUACCCGCUGAACUUAAGCAUAUCAAUAAGCGGAGGA